Molecule: long non-coding RNA, 311 nt
Filed under: Olea europaea (common olive)
Lineage: Eukaryota; Viridiplantae; Streptophyta; Magnoliopsida; Lamiales; Oleaceae
Description: long non-coding RNA (OEUR_LNC004491)
Source: RNAcentral
AUCGAUCGUGUCAACAAAUAAUAACUAAAUUAUAUAUUAUUAAAAAUGAGAGAUAAUUCUUGAGAAUUUUUCAGCUGGUUUUUGUGUAGUUGGGUGGGGUUGGUGUACUGUGUAGUGCAGCAAAGAAAGCCAAGACAAGAGAUCCAAGAUUAUUUCUCAAACCCAAAUUUUUCUUCCACUUUCUCAAACCUACAAUGUCAAUUUGGUGGGCUUUCAUGAUUACACUGUGCCCAGACGUGGAUGCCGAUUUGGUAGCUGGAAGUUGGCCGGAGAUGGAGAAAGUGAGUGGCGGACUUCUCUGCAAGGUUUUU